Molecule: ribosomal RNA, 447 nt
Filed under: uncultured bacterium
Lineage: Bacteria
Description: bacterial SSU rRNA
Rfam family: Bacterial small subunit ribosomal RNA
Source: RNAcentral
GAUUAACGCGAAGAACCUUACCCAGGCUUGACAUGCAGUGGACCGGGCUAGAAAUAGCCCUUUCCUUCGGGACCGCUGCACAGGUGCUGCAUGGCUGUCGUCAGCUCGUGCCGUGAGGUGUUUGGUUAAGUCCAGCAACGAGCGCAACCCUUAUCAUUAGUUGCCAACACGUGAAGGUGGGAACUCUAAUGAGACUGCCUGGGUUAACCAGGAGGAAGGUGAGGAUGACGUCAAGUCCGCAUGGCCCUUAUGUCUGGGGCAACACACGUGCUACAAUGGUCGGUACAGAAGGCAGCGAAACCGCAAGGCGGAGCAAAUCCCCAAAGCCGGCCCCAGUUCAGAUUGUAGUCUGCAACUCGACUACAUGAAGAUGGAAUUGCUAGUAAUGGCAGGUCGGCACACUGCCGUGAAUACGUUCCCGGGCCUUGUACACACCGAAUCACUAGU